RNAcentral lists this ribosomal RNA (371 nucleotides) under uncultured organism. RNAcentral describes it as "bacterial SSU rRNA". It matches the Rfam family "Bacterial small subunit ribosomal RNA", at positions 526 to 896 of the family's 1533-position model. The record is from RNAcentral.
CGGAGGGGGCGUAGCGUUGUUCGGAAUUACUGGGCGUAAAGCGUACGUAGGCGGCUUGUAAGUUAGAGGUGAAAGCCCAGAGCUCAACUCUGGAAUUGCCUUUAAGACUGCAUCGCUUGAAUCGUGGAGAGGUUAGUGGAAUUCCGAGUGUAGAGGUGAAAUUCGUAGAUAUUCGGAAGAACACCAGUGGCGAAGGCGACUAACUGGACACGUAUUGACGCUGAGGUACGAAAGCGUGGGGAGCAAACAGGAUUAGAUACCCUGGUAGUCCACGCCGUAAACGAUGAUGACUAGCUGUCGGGGCGCUUAGCGUUUCGGUGGCGCAGCUAACGCGUUAAGUCAUCCGCCUGGGGAGUACGGCCGCAAGGUUA